CUUUUUGCUCUCUCAGCACAAACCAAAAGGGAUUUCACAGCACCUUCGCGAGCACCCCCGAUUCCAUUCUCGACUUGGCCUGGUCCGGUUCAAAUCCCGAGCACGUGUACCGGAUCCGGCGCCUUCGAAAAAAAUCUCACGCGGGAAAGGAUCGUCUUACUUUCCCGAUGACGACGCGGAGCGAAGUGACAACGCGGCUUCACGUGUCCGAAAGGUGCUGAAUGCGCACUCGUCGGUUGAAAGGCUUCAAAACUCACAUCGGUUCAUCCCCCCAUCCAUUCUUCAGACGAAAGUGAAGAGAGCCAUGAAAUGGAAAUGGCCACAUUGCACGCCUGGUUGCCUUGGUGAAUUACUGAUAGCGUCAGACAAAGUUUAGUCAGGAUCUCUAAAGAGGAUUUCACGCACAAAAGAACUACAGAGAUGCAUCGGAG
Molecule: long non-coding RNA, 431 nt
Organism: Ictalurus punctatus (channel catfish)
Lineage: Eukaryota; Metazoa; Chordata; Actinopteri; Siluriformes; Ictaluridae
Source: Ensembl